Molecule: ribosomal RNA, 464 nt
Filed under: uncultured bacterium
Lineage: Bacteria
Description: partial 16S ribosomal RNA
Rfam family: Bacterial small subunit ribosomal RNA
Source: RNAcentral
AACGAACGCUGGCGGCAUGCUUAACACAUGCAAGUUGAACGCAGAAUAGGGCUUCGGCUCUAUUGCUGAGUAGCAAACGGGUGAGUAACGCGUGGGAAUCUACCUUCUUGUGGGGGAUAACUAAGGGAAACUUUAGCUAAUACCGCAUACGCUCUACGGAGGAAAGGCUUCGGCCGCAAGAAGAGGAGCCCGCGUCAGAUUAGGUAGUUGGUGGGGUAAAAGCCUACCAAGCCAAUGAUCUGUAGCUGGUCUGAGAGGAUGAUCAGCCACACUGGGACUGAGACACGGCCCAGACUCCUACGGGAGGCAGCAGUGGGGAAUAUUGGACAAUGGGGGAAACCCUGAUCCAGCAAUGCCGCGUGAAUGAGGAAGGCCUUAGGGUUGUAAAGUUCUUUCACCUGUGAUGAUAAUGACGGUAGCAGGAGAAGAAGCCCCGGCUAACUCCGUGCCAGCCGCCGCCGUAA